CCCUUUGGGGUGUGACUGCGUACCUUUUGUAUAAUGGGUCAGCGACUUAUAUUCUGUAGCAAGGUUAACCGUAUAGGGGAGCCGGAGGGAAACCGAGUCUUAACCGGGCGUUAAGUUGCAGGGUAUAGACCCGAAACCCGGUGAUCUAGCCAUGGGCAGGUUGAAGGUUGGGUAACACUAACUGGAGGACCGAACCGACUAAUGUUGAAAAAUUAGCGGAUGACCUGUGGCUGGGGGUGAAAGGCCAAUCAAACCGGGAGAUAGCUGGUUCUCCCCGAAAGCUAUUUAGGUAGCGCCUCGUGAAUUCAUCUCCGGGGGUAGAGCACUGUUUCGGCUAGGGGGCCAUCCCGGCUUACCAACCCGAUGCAAACUGCGAAUACCGGAGAAUGUUAUCACGGGAGACACACGGCGGGUGCUAACGUCCGUCGUGAAGAGGGAAACAACCCAGACCGCCAGCUAAGGUCCCAAAGUCAUGGUUAAGUGGGAAACGAUGUGGGAAGGCCCAGACAGCCAGGAUGUUGGCUUAGAAGCAGCCAUCAUUUAAAGAAAGCGUAAUAGCUCACUGGUCGAGUCGGCCUGCGCGGAAGAUGUAACGGGGCUAAACCAUG
RNAcentral lists this ribosomal RNA (608 nucleotides) under Salmonella enterica subsp. enterica serovar Oranienburg. RNAcentral's name for it is "partial 23S ribosomal RNA". It matches the Rfam family "Bacterial large subunit ribosomal RNA", at positions 582 to 1191 of the family's 2925-position model. RNAcentral also lists the same sequence under 5 other names. Lineage: Bacteria; Pseudomonadati; Pseudomonadota; Gammaproteobacteria; Enterobacterales; Enterobacteriaceae. The record is from RNAcentral.